Molecule: ribosomal RNA, 388 nt
Filed under: uncultured bacterium
Lineage: Bacteria
Description: bacterial SSU rRNA
Rfam family: Bacterial small subunit ribosomal RNA
Source: RNAcentral
GACGAACGCUGGCGGCGUGCUUAACACAUGCAAGUCGAGCGGUAAGGCCCUUUCGGGGGUACACGAGCGGCGAACGGGUGAGUAACACGUGGGUGACCUGCCCUCAGCUCUGGGAUAAGCCUGGGAAACCGGGUCUAAUACCGGAUAUGACUCCAUGACGCAUGUUGUGGGGUGGAAAGCCUUGUGCGGCUGAGGAUGGGCCCGCGGCCUAUCAGCUUGUUGGUGGGGUGAUGGCCUACCAAGGCGACGACGGGUAGCCGGCCUGAGAGGGCGACCGGCCACACUGGGACUGAGACACGGCCCAGACUCCUACGGGAGGCAGCAGUGGGGAAUCUUGCGCAAUGGGCGAAAGCCUGGCGCAGCGACGCCGCGUGAGGGAUGACGGCCU